RNAcentral lists this small nucleolar RNA (107 nucleotides) under Oryza nivara. RNAcentral describes it as "Plant small nucleolar RNA R71". It matches the Rfam family "Plant small nucleolar RNA R71". Rfam says of the family: R71 is a member of the C/D box family of snoRNAs containing the C (UGAUGA) and D (CUGA) box motifs. Multiple nearly identical copies of this snoRNA have been identified in Arabidopsis, and it is thought to function as a 2'-O-ribose methylation guide for 18S ribosomal RNA. The record is from Rfam by way of RNAcentral. Lineage: Eukaryota; Viridiplantae; Streptophyta; Magnoliopsida; Poales; Poaceae.
AUUCCUUGAUGAGGACAGGCGGCCACGUACUCCUGUAGUCAUUCCCACGCCUCGGGAAUAGACUUGUCUCUCGUCUGCUGGAAACUUGAAAUUUUGCCGCGUAGGGC